Molecule: ribosomal RNA, 399 nt
Filed under: uncultured bacterium
Lineage: Bacteria
Description: bacterial SSU rRNA
Rfam family: Bacterial small subunit ribosomal RNA
Source: RNAcentral
GAUGAACGCUAGCGACAGGCUUAACACAUGCAAGUCGAGGGGCAGCGAGAAAGUGCUUGCACUUUUGUCGGCGACCGGCGCACGGGUGAGUAACACGUAUGCAACCUGCCCUUGUCAGGGGGAUAAGCGGGGGAAACCCCGUCUAAUACCGCAUAUAUGAUUUGGAGGCAUCUUUAAAUCAGGAAAGAAUUAUCGGACAAGGAUGGGCAUGCGGGACAUUAGGUAGUUGGGGGUGUAACGGACCACCAAGCCGACGAUGUCUAGGGGUUCUGAGAGGAAGGUCCCCCANACUGGUACUGAGACACGGUCCAGACUCCUACGGGAGGCAGCAGUGAGGAAUAUUGGUCAAUGGUCGAAAAGGACUGGAACCAGCCAUGCCGCGUGAAGGUCACGGCCCUA